Molecule: long non-coding RNA, 2126 nt
Organism: Lemur catta (Ring-tailed lemur)
Lineage: Eukaryota; Metazoa; Chordata; Mammalia; Primates; Lemuridae
Exons: 2
Source: RefSeq, a predicted model, not a curated record
GGGACCCGGAGCGCACAGGCCGCCCGCGCGCACUGGCGCAGGGAGCUGCGCGCCGCGUCUGCAGGAGCCCUGCGCUUCCUCUGCCCACUUUCCCCCGAGAGCUUUCGAAGGCACCGGUGUCUGAUCGUUAUCUGGGAGGAGCACGCCAAGACUGAAGAGCAGAGGGAGGCCGCCAGCUCCCAGGCCUGUCUGGCUUCACUCUCCGCUGCCUCCCUGGGUCUUCCAUGAAGGCAGGUUUCUACCGGCAACAAGGGCACAUCACCUCCACUUUGUGUACUGGACUAGCGCCAGGCCCUGUCCUGAGCUCUUGGAAGACAUCAUCUCAUUAAAUCCUCAUUAUGAGCCCAUUCUGAGGACCUGGAGACGGAGACUUCAGUAAGGCCGAGCGUAGGUAAGGAAAACAGGAAUUCAAGCCCGGGACGGAGGGACUCCAGGUCCAGAGCCCGAGCUCUUCUCCGCAGGAGGCACAGGCUCCGGCCACCUGAGUUUCCGCCGCCCAGAGAGCUUUCCACAGAGCUCUGAGAUCCGGAGCCCAGCCCUGGACCGUAGGAGGCCUGCGACUCUUCUCUCCUGGGCGAACCCUGAGGCCAGAGCGGGGAUUGGGACGGGAGCCUCUAAGAGGGUGGCGGGUUCUGUCUGGGGUCGGAACAAGUCCAGGAGCCUGCACCAACUGAGCGGCGGAGCUCCAGCAAGUCUAACUUACCUGGUGAAGGUUGCUGUGGGAAACCUAAGGAGUUUAUUUACAAGGAAGGACGACCUAAAACUAGGAACAGGGCAGCAAAGAUCAGUGGGUACAUGAACAAGAAUCAGAUCUGCAGCGACACUGUGGGGACUUGCCAAAGAAGAGGCGCCGUUCGGCCUUGGGAGACCUGAAGAAGCCCCAUCGCAGCUCUCUGCUUCGGAAAAUGAUGGUGAUGUCAUAAAACAAUAGGUAAUAUUUGUGGAGGUAUGACUAUAUUCUAGAUACUGAACUGAGCACUUUACAUGUAUUCUGUAGUUUAGACCUCACAGCAACCCCAGGAGUACUAUUUGCCUUCACUUUAUAGAUGAGGAAACUGAGGCACAGAGAGCUUGAUUAAUUUUAUCAGUGUUAUAGGCCAAUAUCUGAGGAACCCGGAACUGGAACGCAGUUUUUCCAGACUCCAGACCCCAGACCCCAGUCAGGUGUGGAGAGGACACCGGAAAACAGCACAGGCUCAUUGAUGAGAAAGUUCCCCUUUCUGAUCCAGGAAACUUUCUUUUAUUCAGAGAGGCGUUCUGACUCGAUUUCUCUCUCCAAAAAAGCAAAACAAAACAAAAAAAGCCCUGCGUCUCACUCUGUAGAAGAAAAUAAAAGCAGCGACUCCUGGAAGUGAGUCUGGCUCUGAACUCAGAAAGCGCCCCGGAAGCGGCGCGGGCGCACCGCCAGGCUAAGGCGCGCGUUGGAGAGCUGCGCUGGAGAGAAGCAGGGUGUCCCUGGAGUUUGGAAGCCCCCUAAAUCGGGACAUCUUUGUCUCUAACACAAGGCACUCUUGGCCCUGGGUCUCCAGGAACAGAGACUCAUCCACAGCAACACUUCCUUUGGAAAGACUACAGAAAAAGGCCUCGCGCGAGCCUGCAGCUUUGGGAGGAAACGGGAGACCUCGCCACGGUCCCAGCCAGCUGCGUGUUUCAGCUCCGGGUGGGCAGCUCGUGGCUAUGCCCCCAUUCGGUGUUAGCCAGCGGCACGCUGAACUCGCGAUGCGCAGGCUAUACUGCCUGAGAAAGAUCUUGAGAAGAGACUCAAAUUAAAAAUAAAACAAAACCGGAAAAUUCACCCGUUCAUACACUGCUCCAACUCAAAACCCUAGUGUGAUGUUUCUUAAUUACCUGGUUAUCCAUGGUUAAUACUGAAAAAAAAAACGCUGGUUUAAUUUUUGAAGUGAAUUGGAAUCAUCACACUGCAGGUUUGAAGCAAAGCGAAGAGAGUAAGUUUUUAUCUCUUCCCAUUUUAUCCGUAUUUAUUAAGCGUUUUCCACAAACAUGACCUGAACACAAGGCGCAGACCUCAAAAGGAGGAACUGAUCUGUAAAGCACAGAACUGUUUGUAAAGAGCUGUUAGAUAAUUUUAAAACUUUAAAUAAAAACUAGUUUUCCAAACCCUCCAA